This 497-nucleotide ribosomal RNA is filed under the name uncultured bacterium. RNAcentral describes it as "partial 16S ribosomal RNA". It matches the Rfam family "Bacterial small subunit ribosomal RNA", at positions 28 to 507 of the family's 1533-position model. The record is from RNAcentral.
GAUGAACGCUGGCGGCGUGCCUAAUACAUGCAAGUCGAGCGAACAGACGAGGAGCUUGCUCCUCUGACGUUAGCGGCGGACGGGUGAGUAACACGUGGAUAACCUACCUAUAAGACUGGGAUAACUUCGGGAAACCGGAGCUAAUACCGGAUAAUAUAUUGAACCGCAUGGUUCAAUAGUGAAAGACGGUUUUGCUGUCACUUAUAGAUGGAUCCGCGCCGCAUUAGCUAGUUGGUAAGGUAACGGCUUACCAAGGCAACGAUGCGUAGCCGACCUGAGAGGGUGAUCGGCCACACUGGAACUGAGACACGGUCCAGACUCCUACGGGAGGCAGCAGUAGGGAAUCUUCCGCAAUGGGCGAAAGCCUGACGUAGCAACGCCGCGUGAGUUAUGAAGGUCUUCGGAUCGUAAAACUCUGUUAUUAGUGAAGAACAAAUGUGUAAGUAACUAUGCCCGUCUUGACGGUACCUAAUCAGAAAGCCACGGCUAACUACGUG